Molecule: long non-coding RNA, 1551 nt
Filed under: Equus caballus (horse)
Lineage: Eukaryota; Metazoa; Chordata; Mammalia; Perissodactyla; Equidae
Description: lncRNA (ENSECAG00000054694.1)
Source: RNAcentral
CACCUGCCCCACACUCAGUUCUAGUUAUAACCAUUAACUAACAGUGUUGCUUAGAAAGGCUGGGCCUCUCAAGAUCCCAGGUCUUUUCUGUCAAGAAAUUCUAUGUUAAGCAGAUUGCCAGCACAGAACCACACAUCUCUUGAGUCGGGUAUCCAUGUGAUCUUUGCUAUUCUGAGCCCUGCUUCCUUCAUAAGUACAUUGUAAACAAAGUAACUCCACACUGACGGAGAUGAGAGUAGACAAAGGUGCAUGUCCUGACUCGAACUUUUUCUCCAUUUUUCCAGCUUUUUCUUAAAGAAAGUGACCUAGGUGUUUGAGAAGUGUGAUUUUUAGAAGAAAGCUUUAUAUAGUUGACCUAAAGAAACUGCAAUACAAUCUGCUAUGCAGCACCUGUGAAGUCAGUCAAGAGAAUGAAUACGUCCAUCACAUAGCAUGUUCUUGAGUCUCUCACAGAGAUGCCACAUCAUCCCCUUCCCCUGUAACAGGCACUUUUGUCUCUUGACAAGCUUAAGGAAGCCCCACAAUCCUUCUAGUGCUCCGGGUGGCCACCAUCUAACUAGAUAGUUUCCUCACUCUCCCAGCUGCAAAAGCUUCUCCUAAUCAUUCACCUAUCAGGAAAGUGCUUCCAGGUGAGUAAAUCUGGCACUGAAUGAAGAUCACAAGGUGAGAUAAUACAUUUCCCUCCACCUCCACAUCCAGGUAUAAGGUUUCAGCCCACAGGUUUUAUACAAAGUAUCUUCAGAUCAGACAGCUGCUUUCAAAGGGAAUGUAACUAAGACCCCACUCCUUGGUAAGAGGGCUCAAAAGCCACAUGAUGCUUGAAGUUCACUUUAGCUCCCUCCUUCACUAAACACACCACACAAAGGAUGUUUGCUUCCCACAAAUAAGUCUAAUUCAAAAAUUAGACUUUUCCUCCCAUGGUUUUAGGAUUCCAACCGAAGGCUAGAAAUAAAGGCAUUUAGAAACUUCUCAAAGAAAGCAAGAUUACCAGGUUUACUCUAAGCAUAGGGGCUCUAAACUGACGUGUUUCUUUACUGCAGUACAUUAGCUGGGAGAGAGAUUUUGCUAAAGUAUCUUUUAUGCUAAAGGUUAAACAGUACUUAAAAAGCAGGUGACUUAAGAGAUUUGAUCAUGAGUCUCAAAAUUCACGAUCCCAUCUUAAGCUUCCCCAAGAUCUAACUUCCUUUAGAAACCCCAGUGAUAAGAAAAGCUUCUCCUCUGUCUCUAUUUCAAGCAAGAGAAGAGACGCCUGAUAAGACGACUCCAGGAAGUUGCCAUAACCUCCUAAGAGGUAUUUUCUGUCUGCACACAACUAGUUUCCAUUCUUUCAAGUUCCUCAAUCUGCUUAGAUUCCCUCGCCUAUUUACUUCGUUCAUUCUUUCCCUUUUAAAGUAAGCUAACCAAAAUUUCCCUUGAGAUCUACGAAAGGUUUGGUUCUUUCUACCCACCGCUCCUAGCCAGAUAACUUUUUAGCACGCAGUGUGCCUGUAAAACUUUGAACCACGUUCAGACCCCAACCCCAAACCACACCCAGCAGCACCAGAGCAACCU